RNAcentral lists this ribosomal RNA (444 nucleotides) under uncultured bacterium. RNAcentral's name for it is "bacterial SSU rRNA". It matches the Rfam family "Bacterial small subunit ribosomal RNA", at positions 32 to 453 of the family's 1533-position model. The record is from RNAcentral.
AAUCAACGCUGGCGGCGUGCCUCAGACAUGCAAGUCGAACGCGAAAGGUUCCUUCGGGAGCCGAGUAGAGUGGCGCUCGGGUGAGUAACACGUAGGUAAUUUGCCUUUGGGUGGGGAAUAACAAUCGGAAACGGUUGCUAAUACCGCAUAAUGCAGCGGCUCGACAUCGAGACAGUUGUUAAAGCGGGGGAUCCUUCGGGACCUCGCGCCUAAAGAGAAGCCUGCGGCGGAUUAGCUAGUUGGUGAGGUAAUGGCUCACCAAGGCGACGAUCCGUAACCGGCCUGAGAGGGCGGACGGUCACACUGACACUUAAAUACGGGUCAGACUCCUACGGGAGGCAGCAGUCGGGAAUUUUGGGCAAUGGGCGAAAGCCUGACCCAGCAACGCCGCGUGAAGGAUGAAAUCCCUCGGGAUGUAAACUUCGCAAGAACGGGAAGAAUAAG